CCUACGGGAGGCAGCAGUGAGGAAUAUUGGUCAAUGGACGAGAGUCUGAACCAGCCAAGUAGCGUGAAGGAUGACUGCCCUAUGGGUUGUAAACUUCUUUUAUAUGGGAAUAAAAUGUUCCACGUGUGGGAUGUUGUAUGUACCAUAUGAAUAACGAUCGGCUAACUCCGUGCCAGCAGCCGCGGUAAUACGGAGGAUCCGAGCGUUAUCCGGAUUUAUUGGGUUUAAAGGGAGCGUAGGUGGAUUGUUAAGUCAGUUGUGAAAGUUUGCGGCUCAACCGUAGAAUUGCAGUUGAUACUGGCAGUCUUGAGUACAGUAGAGGUGGGCGGAAUUCGUGGUGUAGCGGUGAAAUGCUUAGAUAUCACGAAGAACUCCGAUUGCGAAGGCAGCUCACUGGACUGCAACUGACACUGAGGCUCGAAAGUGGGGGUAUCAAACAGGAUUAGAUACCCGUGUAGUC
RNAcentral lists this ribosomal RNA (460 nucleotides) under uncultured bacterium. RNAcentral describes it as "partial 16S ribosomal RNA". It matches the Rfam family "Bacterial small subunit ribosomal RNA", at positions 338 to 795 of the family's 1533-position model. The record is from RNAcentral.